AUUGAACGCUGGCGGCAAGCCUAACACAUGCAAGUCGAACGAGUGGCGGACGGGUGCGUAAUGUCUGGGAAACUGCCUGAUGGUGGGGGAUAACUACUGGAAACGGUAGCUACUACCGCAUACCAUCGGAUGUGCCCAGAUGGGAUUAGCUAGUGGGUGGGGUAAAGGCUCACCUAGGCGACGAUCCCUAACUGGUCUGAGAGGAUGACCAGCCACACUGGAACUGAGACACGGUCCAGACUCCUACGGGAGGCAGCAGUGGGGAAUAUUGCACAAUGGGCGAAAGCCUGAUGCAGCCAUGCCGCGUGUAUGAAGAAGGUCUUCGGGUUGUAAAGUACUUUCAGCGGGGAGGCGUUACCCGCAGAAUAAGCACCGGCUAACUCCGUGCCAGCAGCCGCGGUAAUUC
RNAcentral lists this ribosomal RNA (406 nucleotides) under uncultured bacterium. RNAcentral's name for it is "partial 16S ribosomal RNA". It matches the Rfam family "Bacterial small subunit ribosomal RNA", at positions 30 to 526 of the family's 1533-position model. The record is from RNAcentral.